GCCGCUUUAGCUCAGUUGGUAGAGCACUUGAUUUGUAAUCAUGAGGUCGUCCGUUCGAUUCGGACAAGCGGCACCA
Molecule: transfer RNA, 76 nt
Filed under: Burkholderiaceae bacterium
Lineage: Bacteria; Pseudomonadati; Pseudomonadota; Betaproteobacteria; Burkholderiales; Burkholderiaceae
Description: tRNA-Thr
Rfam family: tRNA
About the family: Transfer RNA (tRNA) molecules are approximately 80 nucleotides in length.
Source: RNAcentral